Molecule: long non-coding RNA, 3239 nt
Filed under: Triticum aestivum (bread wheat)
Lineage: Eukaryota; Viridiplantae; Streptophyta; Magnoliopsida; Poales; Poaceae
Description: long non-coding RNA (TAES_LNC023187)
Source: RNAcentral
AGACAAUCAAAUUAUAUCCAUUCAAAAAAUAGCAAUUGUUCACAUGACAAUACAGAGUUCCAACAAUCUAGUCUGAUUCCAAAAAACAAAUCUUAAUAUCAAAACAUCAGAAGCAUAUCUAGAAAGCGAUAUAAGCAUUUUUUUUAUAUUUCAAGUAACAUAACUUCCAAGAAAAAGAUGCACUAUUAGCUGAUUUUUAAUAUCCAACACUACACCACCGCUUCCCGACGGCUAUUCAAAGCACUUCAAUCUCCAAACUGCCAAACCUGCAUAGAAUCCAAAACAUACAUAAUUAUAACAAGUUAUAACAGCCAGCUCCCAAAUGAAUCUAGAGAGUAAUAAUAUUAGUUGAUUUUCCAAGCAAUCAUUCAAUAGACACAACACUACUAUAUUAAGGUACCAUGAAAAUGUGGACAACACACGCUAAAAAAUAGCAUACUAGUUACAAGUUAAAAAAUUGUUCUAUAAAUGUGACAUUUUAUCGUCCAAACAUAGAAAGGUCAGAAUCAUUUUAAAACAAAGGGUGGACAGAUCAUUUCAUAUUUGCAAAGUACAACAACAAAAUCAAAUUUAUAUGCAUGUGACAUGGCUUGGUGUAUCAAAAUGGACGAUUCCGUACAAUACAAUGUAGUUCUUAGUUAACAAAACAUAAAAGUAGUAAUACUAGAGGCAUACUUUCUUCAUCAAUUAUAGCUAAUUUCUAUCAAUAAACUUGCCUUUUGCAUGUAAAAAAAUUAGUCAAAGGCAAGGCCAUUUCGGGCAAUAGAAUGAUCCACUUAAUUAGUGAUCUUAUUAUGCUAACAGUACAAUUCUUUACAAAGACGGAACAUUUCUGAGGAUCAGAAAACUUUAGCUAAGAACUUUAGAAUAAAGAUGAACAUAAUGGUUCAGAUUUAGUCUGAUGCUUUUAGACCAUAACCUUAUCAUCUAGACUAACCACACCUGAGAAUUAUGAACAACAGUAACAUAUGUUGGAAGGAAGAAAAAAGCAUACAUUCUCCCAUUUACUGAUUAGCUUUCAUAGCAUACAAGGUACAUAAUUAUUUCUUCCCACGCUUCAAUAUGUGAUAGGAUACAAGGCACACAAUUAUCUCUGCCCACAUGAAAAUGUAUGAAGUAAAUAAUUCAAGGGAAUAUACCUAGAUCUUUUUUUCUCCAGUUCUGGUUGUAUACAUAACAUUUUAGUUUAAUUUAGCACAUCAUUCAUUAGUUAUUCUUUCCAUCAAGCUUUCACCAAUGACGUGGUGUGAAUAAUACCAAGAAAUAGAGAAUAUGCUAGUAAUAACACUAAAAUUUUGAGACUGAACAAAUGCACUAUGUAGCAAAUCGAACACUCCUAAAUCUGAAGCGAGAAUAAUAUACCAUCUUUUAGUAGUCUUAAAGAAAAAUGUGUAAUCUUCAUUUCCAUCGGUCCUUGAGAUUGGAACUAUGCACACGCAUUUCCAGAAAAACAAUAGUAUAAAAUCCAUCACCUCUGCUGUAACAAGCGAAAACAACUCAGCAUCAAUUAAACUAUUAGCUUGCAAACCCAAAGAGGAAGGGAAACAGAAGGAUUGUUUAUACAGCUAUAUUAAGAAGUCAGGUAAUAUUUAAAUUGAAUAAGACAUCAACGCAGUAAUGAAGUUCAUUUCAAGGGUUUCACUUUGUGUCACCUAUUUGAUCAAAGCAGAACCUAUCAGACAAAGAUUAGUAUGCUAGAGAAACAAUGAGUACAGCAUGAUGAAGAUGUACUCUCAUCAAUGUUAGGAAGUGAAAUGCAAAGUAACAACUCCAGUGUUUGCAUAGAACACACCAGUCUUGCAUCCACAUUGUUUGCAACCAUAUUAAUACAAAACUUAAAGAUUCAAUCAGAAAGCAGAAGAAUAAGGGAGGAAUAACCCACUAUCCCAGUGACAGCAAACAGCAAAGCGUAACAAACAGAGGAAGAAAUCAAUCUAAUCGCCCUGGUCGCGUAGGCCAGCCAAUGGACAGAUGUGUAGUGCAAGAUAUUACUGUGAUUACUUUGAACAAACGUGCAGUGCAACAUCGAUGUCACAACAUCCAUCAGUUUUACUUGUUGCUCUUUAGGGGCGUGUGGCUUUCUGGCUACAACAUCAACAGCAGCAGCAUGACAGGGGGUCAAAAAAAACUCGACCUUGGGAGGCAAGAGUGCGAGGCCAAGCAGGCGGUGGUGUGCGGUUUUUCUUCUUUUCGUUUGUUUUCAGGCAGGAGGGCAACCCGUUUAUCCAAUCUGUAGGAGACUACAAUCAACUUGGAACUCAAUUACUGAAUUAAUUGAAGAUCGUGAAGAACCUGCAGGUUUAAUUCCCAUUAUUGGAUUUCUUGCAUUGUCGUACUACAUCCAACAACAUUUCAACCUAGUGAAGAUUGAAGUUGCAGCAUUGGAAACCCCACAGCCAACGUCCAGUAACGGGAUACAAACAAAAGUCUAAAACUGUACCCCAAAAAUACAUCUAGAACUCAAGUACAAGCAAGCCAUUUGCCGAGAUGCACUCACCAUCUAAUGAAAUCAAUGCGGCCGGUGCCGUCCGCUCCACCUUGCAAUAUUGCCAAGUCUCAUGCUAGUGAUGAAAUUGGCUUGACCUUUCUUCCCAGUUCUAAUGUACAAACUUCCAUAACGUGCAGAUUUGUUUCAAAUGCAUGCUAUUAUAUAAUCUAUCAAGUAGACAACAAAAAAGCCAUUAGGACGAUAAUAAAUAUGUAUAUAUAACAUUAAAAUCUGCAACACCUGACGAAUUUUAUUUGAUAUCUAAAGUGGAAGUAUGGAUCUGAAGUACAUACAGAACCAUAGUUUUUUGAGAAAUAUACAAUACCAUAGUUAAUACACUGGAGGCAGGAGCAGAUACCAAAAUACAGUCGUUUCAUCAAACAAAUAAGGACAAGUAAAAUAGGGUGUUAUGGUCCAGUAUACAACCUUGCCAUGUCAACAAAUAUUACAGCCAACUAUGGUUCACGGACCACUAUGCACACCAAGACAAUUGAACUCUGACACCGGCAUGGUCAAUCACAUUUUACAUAAAAUAUUCAGGUAAUUAACAAGCAUAACAUUUCACAGCAACAUUCCGUAUUACUCGUAAAGGCAAAAGAACAGAAGAAGUGUAUAUACCAAACAAUAUUCAUGCAUAUUGAGAUGGUUCCAUCCAAGGCAAUCGAAGCUAACAGGAAAAUAAAAAGAUGCAUGUGUACACGCAACAACAAUCUGAGAUGAUGAAACAAACCUGCAGAGCUGACCAUCCCCA